CGAGGAAUCUUGGUCAAUGGGCGCAAGCCUGAACCAGCGACGCCGCGUGGAGGAUGAAGGCCCUCGGGUCGUAAACUCCUUUUGGGUGGGAAGAAGCUCUGACGGUACCACCCGAAUAAGCCCCGGCUAACUACGUGCCAGCAGCCGCGGUAAUACGUAGGGGGCGAGCGUUGUCCGGAUUUAUUGGGCGUAAAGCGCACGCAGGCGGUCCGUUUAGUCCGUUGUGAAAGCUCCCGGCUCAACUGGGAGAGGUCUUCGGAUACUGGCGGACUCGAGGGAGGCAGAGGAAGGUGGAAUUCCGGGUGUAGUGGUGAAAUGCGUAGAGAUCCGGAGGAACACCAGUGGCGAAGGCGGCCUUCUGGGCCUUUCCUGACGCUGAGGUGCGAAAGCGUGGGGAGCGAACCG
RNAcentral lists this ribosomal RNA (405 nucleotides) under uncultured bacterium. RNAcentral's name for it is "bacterial SSU rRNA". It matches the Rfam family "Bacterial small subunit ribosomal RNA", at positions 355 to 775 of the family's 1533-position model. The record is from RNAcentral.